Molecule: ribosomal RNA, 524 nt
Filed under: Novocrania huttoni
Lineage: Eukaryota; Metazoa; Brachiopoda; Craniata; Craniida; Craniidae
Description: partial 16S ribosomal RNA
Rfam family: Bacterial large subunit ribosomal RNA
Source: RNAcentral
CGUCUUUGGAAUUUUAUCAAAGGCACAGCCUGCCCGGGAGACGGUAGUUAAACGGCGGCAUUAGCGUGAUUGUCCAAAGGUAGCAUAUAAUACGCCUCUUAAUUAGUGGCUGGAUGAAGGGUUAGACGUGGGAGUAGCUGUCUUCUGGGCAUAUAUAGAACUUAUUUUGUAGGUGAAUAGACCUUUUUUUGGUUUCGGGACGGGUAGACCCCGAUGAGCUUGAUAGCGGGUGAUAGGUUUUCAGCUAAGGUUUAGAUUAAUUAACUUGGUGUUAGGCUGUUACUUCUUUUGUUGGGAGAACCGAGAUCAUGAAUAAAUGAUUCCACUUUUUGAUGUAUUAAUAAUUAUGUUGACCUUUAUUGAAAGACAAUUUUUAGUUAGAAAAUGCUACCGCGGGGAUAACAGCACUAUCCUUUCGGAGAGAAUAAAUUGCAGAGAGGGUUUAUGACCUCGAUUUUGGGUCAGAUGAUUCUGGGUGAUAUAAGAGCUCGCCCAAUGAUGGACUGUUCGUCCUUUAAAUUUCU